Molecule: ribosomal RNA, 493 nt
Filed under: uncultured euryarchaeote
Lineage: Archaea; Methanobacteriati; Methanobacteriota
Description: bacterial SSU rRNA
Rfam family: Archaeal small subunit ribosomal RNA
Source: RNAcentral
AGGAAUUGGCGGGGGAGCACCGCAACGGGAGGAGCGUGCGGUUCAAUUGGAUUCAACGCCGGAAAACUCACCGGGGGCGACGGAGGGAUGAAAGCCAGGCUGAAGACCUUGCCCGAUUCUCCGAGAGGUGGUGCAUGGCCGUCGUCAGUUCGUACCGUAAGGCGUUCUGUUAAGUCAGAUAACGAACGAGACCCUCGCCUUCAGUCGCAAUUUCGCGGGCGACCGCGAGAGCACACUGAAGGGAUCGCUGCCGCUAAGGCUGAGGAAGGAGAGGUCUACGGUAGGUCCGUAUGCCCCGAAUCUCCCGGGCAACACGCGCGCUACAAAGGAUGGGACAAUGGGAUCCGACCUCGAAAGGGGGAGGCAAUCCUGAAACCCAUUCGUAGUCUGGAUCGAGGGCUGUAACUCGCCCUCGUGAAAAUGGAUUCCGUAGUAAUCGCGGGUCAACAUCCCGCGGUGAAUGUGCCCCUGCUCUUUGCACACACCGCCCGUC